RNAcentral lists this ribosomal RNA (471 nucleotides) under Streptococcus sp. oral taxon 064. RNAcentral describes it as "bacterial SSU rRNA". It matches the Rfam family "Bacterial small subunit ribosomal RNA", at positions 28 to 485 of the family's 1533-position model. Lineage: Bacteria; Bacillati; Bacillota; Bacilli; Lactobacillales; Streptococcaceae. The record is from RNAcentral.
GACGAACGCUGGCGGCGUGCCUAAUACAUGCAAGUAGAACGCUGAAGGAGGAGCUUGCUCUUCUGGAUGAGUUGCGAACGGGUGAGUAACGCGUAGGUAACCUGCCUGGUAGCGGGGGAUAACUAUUGGAAACGAUAGCUAAUACCGCAUAAGAGUAGAUGUUGCAUGACAUUUGCUUAAAAGGUGCAAUUGCACCACUACCAGAUGGACCUGCGUUGUAUUAGCUAGUUGGUGGGGUAACGGCUCACCAAGGCGACGAUACAUAGCCGACCUGAGAGGGUGAUCGGCCACACUGGGACUGAGACACGGCCCAGACUCCUACGGGAGGCAGCAGUAGGGAAUCUUCGGCAAUGGACGGAAGUCUGACCGAGCAACGCCGCGUGAGUGAAGAAGGUUUUCGGAUCGUAAAGCUCUGUUGUAAGAGAAGAACGAGUGUGAGAGUGGAAAGUUCACACUGUGACGUAUCUACCA